RNAcentral lists this ribosomal RNA (780 nucleotides) under Bacillus sp. S6(2013). Its description in RNAcentral is "bacterial SSU rRNA". It matches the Rfam family "Bacterial small subunit ribosomal RNA", at positions 62 to 823 of the family's 1533-position model. Lineage: Bacteria; Bacillati; Bacillota; Bacilli; Caryophanales; Bacillaceae. The record is from RNAcentral.
UCGAGCGAUGGAUUAGAGCUUGCUCUUAUGAAGUUAGCGGCGGACGGGUGAGUAACACGUGGGUAACCUGCCCAUAAGACUGGGAUAACUCCGGGAAACCGGGGCUAAUACCGGAUAAUAUUUUGAACUGCAUGGUUCGAAAUUGAAAGGCGGCUUCGGCUGUCACUUAUGGAUGGACCCGCGUCGCAUUAGCUAGUUGGUGAGGUAACGGCUCACCAAGGCAACGAUGCGUAGCCGACCUGAGAGGGUGAUCGGCCACACUGGGACUGAGACACGGCCCAGACUCCUACGGGAGGCAGCAGUAGGGAAUCUUCCGCAAUGGACGAAAGUCUGACGGAGCAACGCCGCGUGAGUGAUGAAGGCUUUCGGGUCGUAAAACUCUGUUGUUAGGGAAGAACAAGUGCUAGUUGAAUAAGCUGGCACCUUGACGGUACCUAACCAGAAAGCCACGGCUAACUACGUGCCAGCAGCCGCGGUAAUACGUAGGUGGCAAGCGUUAUCCGGAAUUAUUGGGCGUAAAGCGCGCGCAGGUGGUUUCUUAAGUCUGAUGUGAAAGCCCACGGCUCAAACCGUGGAGGGUCAUUGGAAACUGGGAGACUUGAGUGCAGAAGAGGAAAGUGGAAUUCCAUGUGUAGCGGUGAAAUGCGUAGAGAUAUGGAGGAACACCAGUGGCGAAAGGCGACUUUCUGGUCUGUAACUGACACUGAGGCGCGAAAGCGUGGGGAGCAAACAAGGAUUAGAUACCCUGUAGUCCACGCCGUAACGAUGAGUGCUAAGUGU